This 799-nucleotide small RNA is filed under the name Pongo abelii (Sumatran orangutan). RNAcentral describes it as "retained intron". Lineage: Eukaryota; Metazoa; Chordata; Mammalia; Primates; Hominidae. The record is from RNAcentral.
CAUCCAGCUCUCCCUCUUUUCAGCCAGCUUUCUACGGAAUAUCAAUGAGUACCUGGCCGUAGUCGAUGCCCCUCCCUUGGACCUCCGGUUCAGCCCCUCAGGCUACCUCUUGCUGGCUUCAGAAAAGGAUGCUGCAGCCAUGGAGAGCAACGUGAAAGUGCAGAGGUGGGUGCCUGGCACAGCCUCUCAGCUGCUUGGCAGCCAAAGAUGUUGGGUGACUCCUGCACCAGGUUAGGAAGUGAGAAAGUGGAGCUGAUAAGACAGAUCCCUGCAGUCUAGGACCUCAGUGUGUCAGGAAGGAAAUACACAGACCUGCAGUGCCCUGUGAGUGCUGUACGACGGAUAUGGACAAAACACUGCAAGGUGCUUCCUAAUUUGUCAGAUCAUGAAAACCACCUGGAACACAUCCGAGACCUAAUAAAGCAGAAUCUCUAGGGAAGGAGCCCACAAAUCUGGGUUUUUAACAAGAACCUAAGUCAGGAGUUAGCAAACUUUUUCUGUAAAGGGCCAGAUAGUAUAUAUUUUAGGUUUUGCUGGCCGUACAGUCUCUAAUCCAACCGCUCUGCUAUCACAGCAUGAAAGCAGCCAUAGACAAAAGUGCAAAUGAAGGAGUGUGGCUCAUUUAUGAAAAGAGGCAGCAGGUCGGAUUUGGCAACCCCUGCUCUAAGUGAUUCUCAUGCUCAGGUGAGGGUGGGCAUCUUUGUGAUGCAAUAUGGCCAGAGGCUUUAUUUUUAUGUUUAUUUAACAAACACCCAAGUCUCACAGUGACAUCAAUUAAUAUCCUAAAUGCUGUACAGAU